This is a long non-coding RNA of Cervus elaphus (red deer), 590 nucleotides long. RefSeq lists it as uncharacterized. The record is from RefSeq and is a predicted model, not a curated record. Lineage: Eukaryota; Metazoa; Chordata; Mammalia; Artiodactyla; Cervidae. The transcript is spliced from 2 exons.
CGCGACGCGGGGGCGCUGCGCCGCCGGAGGGACCGGAGCUCUUUUCUGCAGAAACCUCAUUCCGCUUGUUUCUGAAGCCAGCGGGGCUCACGAGUGACGCCCCCGUCCAAGGCCCAGAACCCCGACCGUUAACAAGGUCCAAGAGCAGAGACCAGGCCUGCCCUCGCACUGGUGGAGGGAUGCCCAUGGACACCCUUCGGCACAUCUAUGGGGGAGAGGCGGCCCUGAGACAGAUGUGGGCACCAUGCCAGGGAGGAGACGGAGCGAGAGGCCUGUGGAAGAUGCUGCAGGGGGGCAGGGUCUUCCUAGAGCUGGGCCUGAUCUUCCCAAAACUGGGAGUGGAGAAUAGCCCCAACUGCUCCCUCCCUGUGGGGUCCUGGGCUGGGCUGGCUGCCACCCUGGCAUCAGUCUCCCAAGCCUUGUGGGGGCCAAAGGCUAGUGCCCUGCAGGGUCAGGGUACUCAGCUUUGUACCUUCUUGCUGCCCUCAGCCUUUUUAUUUUUGCCAACUCCUCAGCUUCUUCACCCACUUGUCGGCUCCCUGGAGGUCCUGGGCUUUUUGCUAGAAAAUAGGACAUGCUGGUGGUGUUCU